CGGCAAACGGGUGCGGAACACGUACGCAACCUCCCCGGAACAGGUGAAUAGCCUUGCGAAAGUAAGAUUAAUACACCGUACCAUAUAGUUGUGGCAUCACGAUUAUAUUAUAGGUAGCAAUACCGGUUCCGGAUGGGCGUGCGCCUGAUUAGGUAGUUGGUGCGGGUAACGGCCCACCAAGCCUUCGAUCAGUAACUGGUGUGAGAGCACGACCAGUCACACGGGCACUGAGACACGGGCCCGACUCCUACGGGAGGCAGCAGUAAGGAAUAUUGGUCAAUGGACGCAAGUCUGAACCAGCCAUGCCGCGUGCAGGAUGACGGCCCUCUGGGUUGUAAACUGCUUUUAUCUGGGACGAAAAACGGACUUUCUAGUUCACUUGACGGUACCAGAGGAAUAAGCACCGGCUAACUCCGUGCCAGCAGCCGCGGUAAUACGGAGGAUCCAAGCGUUAUCCGGAAUCAUUGGGUUUAAAGGGUCCGUAGGCGGCCAGGUAAGUCAGUGGUGAAA
This 510-nucleotide ribosomal RNA is filed under the name uncultured Ferruginibacter sp. RNAcentral's name for it is "bacterial SSU rRNA". It matches the Rfam family "Bacterial small subunit ribosomal RNA", at positions 96 to 599 of the family's 1533-position model. Lineage: Bacteria; Pseudomonadati; Bacteroidota; Chitinophagia; Chitinophagales; Chitinophagaceae. The record is from RNAcentral.